UACGUCCUUCUGAUGUGAAAUAAUCUUCAGAUGUCCAGUUCUGUUAAAGAAGGAAAAUGAGCUGAUGUCCUGGCUGCAGUUUCAUAAUAACAACAAAAAAAACGAACAAAAAACCCCGUUUUGCAGGUAGAGGAGCAAGAGAGGCUUUCAGCUAACUUACAGCCCCGAGGAAAAAGCUGCUUUUAGUCGGAAGCCAGCGUGCGUUAUCUGGCAGCUGUCUGACGUUUGAGUGCCCGUUUAAACGUGAGCCCUGGAUCCACCUCUGGAAGCCACGUGGGGCCACGGGCGUCCCCGUCGCACCGUGGGAUGCGAACGGGGCCACAAGUGACCGCUUGGCCGGGGGACGUUCUCCAGGUGCUGCUUCACGUGUCUUAGCCGAAGCAGGAUGGGUAUUUUUAGAAAGGCUUCAAAUGUCAAUGCAAAAACUGCUUUGACGAAGAGCUCACCACAACCUGUUCGGAGACUUAAUUACCCUUGCCGUUAAAAACGUGCCCUUUAUUUCUGAAUUAAUCUCAAGAUCUUGUUACGGCUCUGCUGGAGCGAAGAUCCCGUCGCCGUCAGAUCCCCGUCCUGGAUGCCAGCGCUCAGACCCCGAUGCAGCUGCUUCCUGGCCACUUUUGUUGCUGUACUAAAUAGAUUAAGCUCCUGCCGGGGCCGAUCAUCUUAACCAUUCCCGGUCUUGCCGCGGUUCUCAUGGCUGUUUUGAGCCUUGGGUUGGUUUCUGGCAUCGCCCCCGAAGCGCCGAGACGGGAUCCGACCUCGCGGCUCCUCCCUGCCGUCCACCGUCUGAAGGGGACCAUCCGCCUCGUGCCCAGGGCUCCCCGCCAGGGUCCCGGCGCCGGGGCACAGCUCCGGGCAGAGCUUGGUGCGCUGCGAGCUCUUGGUAGAUACGGCCCCAAGCGCGUCGCAUCCGAGCGAUGGUGCGUCCUGCGUCCGGUUUAUCAGCUAGCUCUGACCGCUCCCUGUAUCCGUUCUCCCUGUUCUCCAAAUCCAUCAUGACCACGCAAAGACCGGGCAACUAGUAAUUCAUGUUUUGUUCCAGGCUGCCGCUAACAGCGAUGAUGCGGAUAACGCUGCCAGAACAUGGAAGGACUGAAAAAACGUACAAGGAAGGCCUUUGGUAUACGCAAGAAAGAAAAGGAUACUGAUUCCACAGGGUCGCCGGACAGGGACGGACUCAUAGCCCCGGGUAGCGGGAGGAUCGUGUCUCCUUUAGCCGUUUGAUUUCAAGCUUGCAAAGAAGCAUGUUGGGUUCAGGCUUCACCGUGCGCCGCUUCCGAAGAGACGUUGCGUUCGGGCUUCGGAAGCUCACGCUCCAAGUAAAAAAGGAGGGACGCGUUUUGGGGGGCUCGGCAGGAGCGGAGGGGCCGCGGGGGCCCCUGGGAGGCCCCAGGCGCCGGAGCACCCGGCAUGUCCUUCGCGGAGCUGUACAAAAAUUGGCCGCUGCUUUAGAGGUGCCGUGCUGCCACGUCUGACCCGAGAUCCUUGGCUUUGGGCUAGCCCUGCCUUCGUGAGCCCUUCGUUACUGGCUGUUAGGAAAUAGCAAAUUAGAAAAGUUAAAAGCGUGCAGCUCAGGUAGUGCUUUAAUCAAGGCCCUAUUCAGCCGGGCCGGGCGGGGGGGGGAAAGAAAAACGCGACUUUCCACCCAAGUGCACGGAAUAAAUUUGUCUCCGCUAGCUUCCAUCCUUUUCUAUCAUUUUGCUUUUUUUUUUUGGGUGCGUCUUAGCCGCUUGGAGCGCCCCUUCUUCGCGCGGGGGUGGUCAGGC
Molecule: non-coding RNA, 1766 nt
Organism: Struthio camelus australis
Lineage: Eukaryota; Metazoa; Chordata; Aves; Struthioniformes; Struthionidae
Source: RefSeq, a predicted model, not a curated record